UGGUAUCAGAGCUUGGUUUGGUU
This 23-nucleotide transfer RNA is filed under the name Commelina yellow mottle virus. Lineage: Riboviria; Pararnavirae; Artverviricota; Revtraviricetes; Ortervirales; Caulimoviridae. The record is from RNAcentral.